Molecule: long non-coding RNA, 701 nt
Organism: Mya arenaria
Lineage: Eukaryota; Metazoa; Mollusca; Bivalvia; Myida; Myidae
Exons: 6
Source: RefSeq, a predicted model, not a curated record
ACCACUGGUGGGAGGCGCUGUAUUUAAUUGUUGGAGUCAAUGAUCUUGAGGUCCAACUGUGACAACAUCUACAUACCUGCAGCAGCCGUCCUACUGACUUGUACAUUAAUAGCCGACAAAUUGAACUGUGUCAUCUUGGAAGCGUGUGUCAACAGAAUUCUAUCCAACCGCCAGUCGGUGACAUUGCCAGAAUUAAAACUGCAUUGGGCCACUCACAGGAAGCUCCUUAUUUAUGGACCACUGGUGGGAGGCGCUGUAUUUAAUUGUUGGAGUCAAUGAUCUUGAGGUCCAACUGUGACAACAUCUACAUACCUGCAGCAGCCGUCCUACUGACUUGUACAUUAAUAGCCGACAAAUUGAACUGUGUCAUCUUGGAAGCGUGUGUCAACAGAAUUCUAUCCAACCGCCAGUCGGUGACAUUGCCAGAAUUAAAACUGCAUUGGGCCACUCACAGGAAGCUCCUUAUUUAUGGACCACUGGUGGGAGGCGCUGUAUUUAAUUGUUGGAGUCAAUGAUCUUGAGGUCCAACUGUGACAACAUCUACAUACCUGCAGCAGCCGUCCUACUGACUUGUACAUUAAUAGCCGACAAAUUGAACUGUGUCAUCUUGGAAGCGUGUGUCAACAGAAUUCUAUCCAACCGCCAGUCGGUGACAUUGCCAGAAUUAAAACUGCAUUGGGCCACUCACAGGAACCUCCUUA